RNAcentral lists this ribosomal RNA (230 nucleotides) under Salmonella enterica. RNAcentral's name for it is "partial 16S ribosomal RNA". It matches the Rfam family "Bacterial small subunit ribosomal RNA", at positions 218 to 447 of the family's 1533-position model. RNAcentral also lists the same sequence under 1 other name. The record is from RNAcentral. Lineage: Bacteria; Pseudomonadati; Pseudomonadota; Gammaproteobacteria; Enterobacterales; Enterobacteriaceae.
CCAUCAGAUGUGCCCAGAUGGGAUUAGCUUGUUGGUGAGGUAACGGCUCACCAAGGCGACGAUCCCUAGCUGGUCUGAGAGGAUGACCAGCCACACUGGAACUGAGACACGGUCCAGACUCCUACGGGAGGCAGCAGUGGGGAAUAUUGCACAAUGGGCGCAAGCCUGAUGCAGCCAUGCCGCGUGUAUGAAGAAGGCCUUCGGGUUGUAAAGUACUUUCAGCGGGGAGG